CCCGCUGAACUUAAGCAUAUCAAUAAGCGGAGGAAAAGAAACCAACAGGGAUUGCCCUAGUAACGGCGAGUGAAGCGGCAACAGCUCAAAUUUGAAAUCUGGCUUUCGGGCCCGAGUUGUAAUUUGUAGAGGAUACUUUUGAUGCGGUGCCUUCCGAGUUCCCUGGAACGGGACGCCAUAGAGGGUGAGAGCCCCGUCUGGUUGGAUGCCAAAUCUCUGUAAAGUUCCUUCGACGAGUCGAGUAGUUUGGGAAUGCUGCUCUAAAUGGGAGGUAUAUGUCUUCUAAAGCUAAAUAUUGGCCAGAGACCGAUAGCGCACAAGUAGAGUGAUCGAAAGAUGAAAAGCACUUUGAAAAGAGAGUUAAAAAGUACGUGAAAUUGUUGAAAGGGAAGCGUUUAUGACCAGACUUGGACUUGGUUAAUCAUCUGGGGUUCUCCCCAGUGCACUUUUCCAGUUCAGGCCAGCAUCAGUUUUCGCCGGGGGAUAAAGGCUUCGGGAAUGUAGCUCUCUUCGGGGAGUGUUAUAGCCCGUUGUGUAAUACCCUGGCGGAGACUGAGGUUCGCGCUUCUGCAAGGAUGCUGGCGUAAUGGUCAUCAACGACCCGUCUUGAAACACGGACCAAGGAGUCGUCUUCGUAUGCGAGUGUUCGGGUGUCAAACCCCUACGCGUAAUGAAAGUGAACGCAGGUGAGAGCUUCGGCGCAUCAUCGACCGAUCCUGAUGUUCUCGGAUGGAUUUGAGUAAGAGCAUACGGGGCCGGACCCGAAAGAAGGUGAACUAUGCCUGUGUAGGGUGAAGCCAGAGGAAACUCUGGUGGAGGCUCGCAGCGGUUCUGACGUGCAAAUCGAUCGUCAAAUAUGGGCAUGGGGGCGAAAGACUAAUCGAACCUUCUAGUAGCUGGUUUCCGCCGAAGUUUCCCUCAGGAUAGCAGUGUUGAACUCAGUUUUAUGAGGUAAAGCGAAUGAUUAGGGACUCGGGGGCGCUAUAUUGCCUUCAUCCAUUCUCAAACUUUAAAUAUGUAAGAAGCCCUUGUUGCUUAAUUGAACGUGGGCAUUCGAAUGUAUCAACACUAGUGGGCCAUUUUUGGUAAGCAGAACUGGCG
This 1101-nucleotide ribosomal RNA is filed under the name Puccinia jogashimensis. Its description in RNAcentral is "eukaryotic LSU rRNA". It matches the Rfam family "Eukaryotic large subunit ribosomal RNA", at positions 24 to 1155 of the family's 3401-position model. Lineage: Eukaryota; Fungi; Basidiomycota; Pucciniomycetes; Pucciniales; Pucciniaceae. The record is from RNAcentral.